CGUGAGCAAUCUGCCCCUGACUCUGGGAUAAGCGCUGGAAACGGCGUUUAAUACUGGAUAUGAGCUGCGAUCGCAUGGUCAGUAGCUGGAAAGAUUUUUUGGUCAGGGAUGAGCUCGCGGCCUAUCAGCUUGUUGGUGAGGUAAUGGCUCACCAAGGCGUCGACGGGUAGCCGGCCUGAGAGGGUGACCGGCCACACUGGGACUGAGACACGGCCCAGACUCCUACGGGAGGCAGCAGUGGGGAAUAUUGCACAAUGGGCGCAAGCCUGAUGCAGCAACGCCGCGUGAGGGAUGACGGCCUUCGGGUUGUAAACCUCUUUUAGCAGGGAAGAAGCGAAAGUGACGGUACCUGCAGAAAAAGCGCCGGCUAACUACGUGCCAGCAGCCGCGGUAAUACGUAGGGCGCAAGCGUUAUCCGGAAUUAUUGGGCGUAAAGAGCUCGUAGGCGGUUUGUCGCGUCUGCUGUGAAAUCCCGAGGCUCAACCUCGGGUCUGCAGUGGGUACGGGCAGACUAGAGUGCGGUAGGGGAGAUUGGAAUUCCUGGUGUAGCGGUGGAAUGCGCAGAUAUCAGGAGGAACACCGAUGGCGAAGGCAGAUCUCUGGGCCGUAACUGACGCUGAGGAGCGAAAGGGUGGGGAGCAAACAGGCUUAGAUACCCUGGUAGUCCACCCCGUAAACGUUGGGAACUAGUUGUGGGGUCCAUUCCACGGAUUCCGUGACGUAGCUAACCCAUUAA
RNAcentral lists this ribosomal RNA (736 nucleotides) under Microbacterium hominis. RNAcentral's name for it is "bacterial SSU rRNA". It matches the Rfam family "Bacterial small subunit ribosomal RNA", at positions 116 to 863 of the family's 1533-position model. Lineage: Bacteria; Bacillati; Actinomycetota; Actinomycetes; Micrococcales; Microbacteriaceae. The record is from RNAcentral.